GACGAACGCUGGCGGCGUGCUUAAUACAUGCCAGUCGAACGGACAGGCCCUGCUUUUGUGCGUUGCUCGUUUGGCGAACGCGUGAGUAUCACGCGUGUAACCUGUCCUUGUCUUUGGGAUAACUUCACGAAACAGGGGCUAAUACACCAUAGGAGCUCCUGCUGCACAGGGGGGGUUGGUAAGUGUCGGCGGUUCGGGAUGGACGCGCGGCUUAUCAGCUUGUUGGUGAGGUAGUGGCUUACCAAGGCUUUGACGGAUAGCCAGCAUGAGAGGGUGACCGGCCACAAUGGGACUGAGGUAGGGCCCAGACUGCUACGUGCGGCAGGAGUGGAAAAUAUUGCGGAAUAAGCGGAAGCCUGAUAGAACAACGUCGGGUGCGGGAUGACGGCUUACUGGUUGAAAACAGCUUUCGCCUGUGACGAAGCGUGAGUGACGGUAACGAGUAAAGAAGCACCGGCUAACUACGUG
RNAcentral lists this ribosomal RNA (468 nucleotides) under uncultured bacterium. RNAcentral describes it as "partial 16S ribosomal RNA". It matches the Rfam family "Bacterial small subunit ribosomal RNA", at positions 28 to 507 of the family's 1533-position model. The record is from RNAcentral.